RNAcentral lists this ribosomal RNA (1782 nucleotides) under Capsicum baccatum. RNAcentral describes it as "bacterial SSU rRNA". It matches the Rfam family "Eukaryotic small subunit ribosomal RNA". Lineage: Eukaryota; Viridiplantae; Streptophyta; Magnoliopsida; Solanales; Solanaceae. The record is from RNAcentral.
AAGCAACGUAUGCGCCCGCUGUCCGCUGGACGACUCGUAGUAGGGGCCUCGGACCCCAAGGGCAUAUGUCAUUUGCUAAGACACCAUGGCGAAAGAGUCACGGUAGCCGCCUUGAAGUAUAAUUUCGAUCGAGCGGUGGGUAGAAUCCUUUGUAGAUGACUUAAAUAUCUAUGGGGUAUUGUAAGCGGAAAAGUGGGCUUGCUGCCACGAUCCACUAAGAUUCAUCCCUUUGUUGUGAUGAUUCAAGAUAACUCGAUGGAUCGCACGACCAUCGUGCCGAUGAUGCAUCAUUCAAAUUUUUGUCCUGUCAAGUUUCGAUGGUAGGAUAGUAUCCUACCAUGGUGGUGAUGGGUGAUGGAGAAUUAGGGUUCGAUUUCGGAGAGGGAGCCUGAGAAAUGGCUACCAUAUCCAAGAAAGGCAAUAGGUGCACAAAUUACCCAAUCCUGACACAAGAAGGUAGUGACAAUAAAUAAUAAUACCGAGCUCAAUGAGUCUGGUAAUUUGAAUAAGUAAAAUCUAAAUCCCUUAAUGAGGAUCCAUUGGAGGGAGAGUCUAUUUCUAGUAGUCUCAGUAAUUCCAGCACCAAUAACAUAUAUUUAAGUUGUUUCAGUUAAAAAGCUCAAAGUUGGACUUUGGGAUUAACCGACCGGUCUACCUAUGGUGUGCAUUGGUCGUCUCGUCCCUUCUGUCGGGUUGUGCCUCCGACGCUGUUACUUUAAAGAAAUUAGAAUGCUUAAAGCAAGCCUACUCUUUGUAUACAUUAGCAUGGGAUAACAUUAUAGGAUUUUGGUCCUAUUUUGUUGGCCUUCGGGAUUGGAGUAAUGAUUAACAGGGACAGUCGGGGGCAUUCGUAUUUCAUAGUGAGAGGUAAAAUUAUUGGAUUUAUUAAAUACGAAUAAAUAUGAAAGCAUUUUCCAAGGAUGUUUUCAUUAAUCAAGAACGAAUGUUGGGGGCUCAAAGGUGGUCAGAUACCAUCCUAGUCUCAACCAUAAACGAUGCCGACCAGGGAUCGACGGAUGUUGCUAUUAGGACUCUGCUAGCACCUUAUGAUAAAUCAAAGUUUUUGGGUUCUGGGGGAGUAUAGUCACAAGGCUGAAACUUAGAGGAGGUGAUAGAAGGGCAACAAAGGAGGUGGCAGAAGGGCACCACCAGGAGUGGAGCCUGCGGCUUAAUUUGACUCAACACGGGGAAAAUUACCAGGUCCAUACAUACUAAGGAUUGACAAACUGAGAGCUCUUUCUUGAUUCUAUGGGUGGUGGUGCCUGGCCGUUAGUUUGUGGAGUGAUUUGUCUGGUUAAUUCCGUUACUGAACGAGACCUUAGCCUGCUAACUAGCUAUGCAGAAAUAUCCCUUCGCGGCCAGCUUCUUAGAGGGACUACAACCUUUUAGGCCGCAGAAGUUUGAGGUAAUAAAAGGUCUGUGAUGCCUUUAGAUGUUAUGGGCCGCAGGCACACUACACUGAUGCAUUCAACGAGUUUAUAGCCUUGACCGACAGGCCUGGUUAAUAUUUGAACUUUCAUCAUGAUGGGGAUAGAUCAUUGCAAUUGUUGGUCUUCAAGGAGGAAUUCCUAGUAAGCGUGAGUUAUCAGCUCGUGUUGACUACGUCCUUGCAUUUUGUACCCACCGCCCGUCGCUCCUACCGAUUGAAUGAUCCUGUGAAAUGUGUAGAUUGCGGCGAUGUGGGCAGUUCGCUGCCCGCGAUAUCGCGAGAAGUACAUUGAACCAUAUCAUUUAGAGAAAGGAGAAUUUGAAACAAGGUUUGUAUAGGUGAACCUGCGGAAG